Molecule: ribosomal RNA, 468 nt
Filed under: uncultured bacterium
Lineage: Bacteria
Description: partial 16S ribosomal RNA
Rfam family: Bacterial small subunit ribosomal RNA
Source: RNAcentral
GACGAACGCUGGCGGCGUGCUUAACACAUGCAAGUCGAACGGAAAGGCCCUGCUUUUGUGGGGUGCUCGAGUGGCGAACGGGUGAGUAACACGUGAGUAACCUGCCCUUGACUUUGGGAUAACUUCAGGAAACUGGGGCUAAUACCGGAUAGGAGCUCCUGCUGCAUGGUGGGGGUUGGAAAGUUUCGGCGGUUGGGGAUGGACUCGCGGCUUAUCAGCUUGUUGGUGGGGUAGUGGCUUACCAAGGCUUUGACGGGUAGCCGGCCUGAGAGGGUGACCGGCCACAUUGGGACUGAGAUACGGCCCAGACUCCUACGGGAGGCAGAAGUGGGGAAUAUUGCACAAUGGGCGGAAGCCUGAUGCAGCAACGCCGCGUGCGGGAUGACGGCCUUCGGGUUGUAAACCGCUUUCGCCUGUGACGAAGCGUGAGUGACGGUAAUGGGUAAAGAAGCACCGACUAACUAAGAG